This is a non-coding RNA of Schizosaccharomyces pombe (fission yeast), 337 nucleotides long. The record is from the annotation of a GenBank genome assembly. NCBI's taxonomy places the organism in Eukaryota, Fungi, Ascomycota, Schizosaccharomycetes, Schizosaccharomycetales, Schizosaccharomycetaceae.
AUUUGGUUUAAUGAUUUUUUUUUCCUUCCCUUUUCUUUAUUUAACACACUAAAUGUCGGGUAACUGCGAGUUAAUAACGAACAUGAUCAGUUUAAUUCAAUUUUCAUUCUUUUCUAUUUCCAUAUAGAAUUGUGGCUGUAACCGCGAAGCAUUUCAUACGGAAAGUCGCCUUUAUUUACAUAAGCAACAUCUUUGUUGUGUGGCUAUAGGAGUUAAAGCAAAAAAGGCGAAUUACUAAAGCACAAUGAAAUGGCAAAUCUUUAGUAAUAAGUAUAUUAUUUCGUGCCGAUGUUCCAUAAACUUGGUUAAAAUAAUUUGGAAACAUGAUUCUAGCUGU